Long non-coding RNA from Suricata suricatta (meerkat), 406 nucleotides. RefSeq lists it as uncharacterized. NCBI's taxonomy places the organism in Eukaryota, Metazoa, Chordata, Mammalia, Carnivora, Herpestidae. The record is from RefSeq and is a predicted model, not a curated record. The transcript has 3 exons.
GCUGAUGAGCCCACACACGCGAGAGGCACACGGGAGCAGCUGGUCGUCACAGAGUCCUGUGUUAACAGGGACUUCAGUGCUCUAGUCAAACCUUCAACUGAUUGGACGAGGCCCACCCAUGUUCAGGAGGCCAGUCUGCUUUACUCAGAGUCCACUGAUGGAUUGUUAAUCUCAUCCAAAGAACACCUGCACAAAAACAGUCAAAAUAAUGUGGGGUGAAGCAUCUGGCACAGUGGCCCCGCUGACUUGGCACAAGCCCUUUCCAGUCCGGCUUGUCCUUACCGGAGACAAGGCACCCCGCUCCAUGCACCGGCCACUCCCUGGUUUCGAAGGGCACCGCGCUGGGGCGCCUGGGGGGCUCCGUCGGUGAAGCGGGGACCUCAGCUCAGGUCAUGAUCUGGCUGUC